GAGGAAUAUUGGUCAAUGGGCGCGAGCCUGAACCAGCCAAGUAGCGUGAAGGAUGAAGGUCCUAUGGAUUGUAAACUUCUUUUAUAGCAGAAUAAAGUGACCCACGUGUGGGUUUUUGUAUGUAUGCUAUGAAUAAGGAUCGGCUAACUCCGUGCCAGCAGCCGCGGUAAUACGGAGGAUCCGAGCGUUAUCCGGAUUUAUUGGGUUUAAAGGGUGCGUAGGCGGAAAGAUAAGUCAGCCUGUGAAAGUUUGCGGCUCAACCGUAAAAUUGCAGUUGAUACUGUUUUUCUUGAGUGUACAUAAGGUAGGCGGAAUUCGUGGUGUAGCGGUGAAAUGCUUAGAUAUCACGAAGAACUCCGAUUGCGAAGGCAGCUUACCGGGGUACAACUGACGCUGAUGCACGAAAGUGUGGGUAUCAAAC
RNAcentral lists this ribosomal RNA (421 nucleotides) under uncultured bacterium. RNAcentral describes it as "bacterial SSU rRNA". It matches the Rfam family "Bacterial small subunit ribosomal RNA", at positions 356 to 773 of the family's 1533-position model. The record is from RNAcentral.